AUGACACAUUUUAAAGAAGACUUCAUUUGGAUUCUAAGGACCUGGGAUGCCAAACGUCAGCAAGUGAAAUGUGCCUCCAUGAUACUAAUUCCUGAUCAUCACCAGAGGACCAGUUGCACAAUGCAUGAAAAAACAUCAUUAUGAGUGGCUAUAAUGAUAGUAGAAAGAUCAUCCUACUAGGAAUGAGGAUAUUCUGCCUUUAAAAAAGCAGUGUAAACCUGAGGUAAGUCAUAUACCUUCUCUGAGUUUCAAGGUUUUUUUUAAUUGGUAAUAUUACAUCAGCCCAAUUUAACCAAAAGUGUUAUGAAUAUCAAAUAAUAAGGUAUAGAUGUUGAAGGAUUUGCCAAGCAUGCAAAGCCUACCCAAUUAAAUGGUGAUAUUAUUUGCUGAGAAUUACUAAUUAGAAGGCAGUUAAAUAAAUUAACUAUGAGACUGAGAAAUUGAGAAAUC
This 450-nucleotide long non-coding RNA is filed under the name Felis catus (domestic cat). Its description in RNAcentral is "lncRNA (ENSFCAG00000046450.2)". The record is from RNAcentral. Lineage: Eukaryota; Metazoa; Chordata; Mammalia; Carnivora; Felidae.